This is a small nuclear RNA of Pteropus vampyrus (large flying fox), 109 nucleotides long. The record is from Ensembl. Lineage: Eukaryota; Metazoa; Chordata; Mammalia; Chiroptera; Pteropodidae.
GUGCUCUGUGCGCCCUUUGGGAGCACAUAUGCCAAAAUUGGAAUGGUACAGAGAAAAUGGUCCUAUAUGCAAGGAUAACACGUAAGUUCGCGAAGCGUUUCAUAUUUAA